This 502-nucleotide ribosomal RNA is filed under the name uncultured bacterium. Its description in RNAcentral is "partial 16S ribosomal RNA". It matches the Rfam family "Bacterial small subunit ribosomal RNA", at positions 28 to 523 of the family's 1533-position model. The record is from RNAcentral.
GAUGAACGCUGGCGGCGUGCCUAAUACAUGCAAGUCGAACGAAUCUUCUUCGGAAGAUGAGUGGCGAACGGGUGAGUAAUACAUAGGUAACCUGCCCCUGUGCGGGGGAUAACAGGAGGAAACUCCUGCUAAUACCGCAUAGCCAUGAGCACCGCAUGGAGCUCAUGCCAAAUAUCCUUUCGGGGAUAGCGCAGGGAUGGACCUAUGGCGCAUUAGCUGGUUGGCGGGGCAACGGCCCACCAAGGCAACGAUGCGUAGCCGGCCUGAGAGGGGGGACGGCCACAUUGGGACUGAGACACGGCCCAGACUCCUACGGGAGUCAGCAGUAGGGAAUUUUCGGCAAUGGGGGAAACCCGGACCGAGCAACGCCGCGUGAGCGAAGAAGGCCUUCGGGUCGUAAAGCUCUGUUGUAAAGGAAGAACGGCGCAUACAGGAAAUGGUAUGCGAGUGACGGUACUUUACCAGAAAGCCACGGCUAACUACGUGCCAGCAGCCGCCGUAA